UGUAAGAAGGAGAUGUAUUUAGUGUAUAAUGGGAUAGGGUGGUUUUAAUCACACUGGGCAUUCACGACCGCUGGUGAGAAGGCUAUUUUCCAAGUUUUUUCCAUGUUUAUAAAAGAAAUUAUCUUUCUAUGAAAAGAAAACACAAUCUGUUAGGAAAACACAAUUUGCAUUAUCGUAAUGAUAGAAUUUAUUAUCAUAAUUUGAAUUAUUUUCUUUAUUCUGUAACAGAAAUAAAAACAAAAUGUGUGUUUGGGCCAAAAUGGGGGUGGGUUAACAUCAAUCAAAGUCUGAUUAUGACAGGCUAAUGAAAAAUCAUAUUGAUUUCUCUUUUAUCCAAAUGCAUGUAUUUUAUAUACACUUAGUAGCUUAUGACCAUAAAUUACAUGUGAUCCAUACAUACUGGUACUUGUAUGCUAUAACCUGAUGGGCAAGUGUCCCCUUCUUGCCGGCCUCUUCCGUGGCCGAGUGGUUAGAGCAUUGCGUAUAAUAUAUGCUAGGCAUAAUGCAGAUACCUACAUGAUACAUUUUUUUUCAUUACACACUCUGCUACUCUCGCAAUGUAUAAUAAAAUAUUCGAUUCAUUUCUAACACAUGUAUGCAAUCCCUUACCUUAUCUUUAAAUAAAUUUGAGUAAAUAAAUUUAAGUGCGAAACUGUUCCAUGCUACCGUGAAAUAGAUUUUGCUUUUUAAACAUAAACCAACAAUUCUUAAUUGUAAUUUCUUUUCUUCUUUAAAAAGGGUAUUGACAUCCCAAUAUUUAGUGGGAAGUUCCCAGGUAUCAUCCGCUAGCGACAGUCUACUGACAAAUCCAGACAUGCAUUGGAAGGAUGCUGAUGUGGAGGACACAGGAACACCUGAUCCCAGAACUGUGGCAUUUCAUUCGGGGUGACAACCUGGCUUUCAGUUGGUAUGACUCUUUGAGGUUGAAUAUAGGGUUUAAUCAGUAUAAAUUUGAUUAACAUUCAAAUAAAUCCAGAUAAUACAUUCACAAUUGGAAUCAUGGCAUUAUGGUACACUGAUAUGUGUGUACCAUUUUACUGGGUUUUUUUUUUUUUUUUUUUUUUUUUGCUGCAUAACUAGGGAUCGUAUACAUACAAAAUGAGACAAUUUAUAAUUAGUUUCUAAUUAUAAGGUAUGACACGUUUUAAGGUAUGGUGGCCAAUACUGAUUUUAUUUGCAAUUUUCUUUCAGAUAUGGGACUCUAUUAUUCGGAGAACUGCAGAUUUUAUGAAGCUGUCUUUGACAGAAGAUUUUGUUUUCUCUAUCUGUGUUGCCACCAACCAUUAUGCUGAGAUAGUCAUAUCUAGGGGGAAGGGUUGCCAUAUACUUCCCAAGGAAGUUUGCAGCCUCUCACUGAAGAGGAACUGUACAGAUUUUUGUGCAUUAUCUUAUACACGCCUGCUGUGAAGUUCCAGUCGAUAGACAGAUAUUGGUCAACGCAUGCCCCUGUCGGAACAACUCGUUAUCAAGAAUUAUGUCUAGAAAUAGGUUUCAAGAGGUUGAAUAUAAAAACAUUUUUGUUAAAUAUGAUGCAAGUACAUUUAAAUCUAGUGAUUGAAAGUAAGUACUUGAACAUUCGUUUAUGUUGAAUUUGGAGAGGAAAAAUAGUUAGUACUUUUUGAUAACAUUUGAUAAGGUGUUGUUGCUUAGCAACCAAAUAUAAUUGAAUAAAAAAUAGAUUAUUUUAGAUUAACAAUAAUUGAAAGAUCUUUGUUUUAAUGUUGCAAUACUUAUUCUAUUUAAUGGAACAUAAUGGCAAAACAUCAUAUUAUUAGAAAAUGAUGGACAAGUAUAUAAAGUACGAAGUUUCCAUUUGAUGACCUUUGACCUUAAUUCUCUUGACUAUAUUUUUUGUUAAAAACCUUUUAAAAUGAUUAAGAUCUAUUUAAAGAUUAUAUUUUUAAAAUAAUGUGACAUUUACUAAUCAUCAUGGAUUGUAAUUACGUUUAAAUUGUGUCGAAUGGAUGCAGAAAGGCAAAUUAUGGUCAAAAUUGUACUAUGAGUGUUGUUACUUAGCAACCAAAAAUAUUUGUUUGUCAAUAAAAUUGAUUAGUUUGA
Molecule: long non-coding RNA, 2058 nt
Organism: Ostrea edulis (European flat oyster)
Lineage: Eukaryota; Metazoa; Mollusca; Bivalvia; Ostreida; Ostreidae
Exons: 2
Source: RefSeq, a predicted model, not a curated record